CGCCUGCCGGGCAGCGGGACGGAGCUCGACCGCCCGUUCCGCAGAUGACCGCUUUUAUUGAACAGCAACGCGAUGCUUUUGGGGUCGAGCCGAUCUGCUGUGUUUUGCAGAUUGCCCCA
Regulatory RNA element from Pseudorhodobacter antarcticus, 119 nucleotides. It matches the Rfam family "ALIL pseudoknot". NCBI's taxonomy places the organism in Bacteria, Pseudomonadati, Pseudomonadota, Alphaproteobacteria, Rhodobacterales, Paracoccaceae. The record is from Rfam.